Molecule: ribosomal RNA, 1505 nt
Filed under: Campylobacter jejuni
Lineage: Bacteria; Pseudomonadati; Campylobacterota; Epsilonproteobacteria; Campylobacterales; Campylobacteraceae
Description: partial 23S ribosomal RNA
Rfam family: Bacterial large subunit ribosomal RNA
Source: RNAcentral
AGGUAAGCUACUAAGAGCGAAUGGUGGAUGCCUUGACUGGUAAAGGCGAUGAAGGACGUACUAGACUGCGAUAAGCUACGGGGAGCUGUCAAGAAGCUUUGAUCCGUAGAUUUCCGAAUGGGGCAACCCAAUGUAUAGAGAUAUACAUUACCUAUAUAGGAGCGAACGAGGGGAAUUGAAACAUCUUAGUACCCUCAGGAAAAGAAAUCAAUAGAGAUUGCGUCAGUAGCGGCGAGCGAAAGCGCAAGAGGGCAAACCCAGUGCUUGCACUGGGGGUUGUAGGACUGCAAUGUGCAAGAGGUAAGUUUAGCAGAACAUUCUGGAAAGUAUAACCAUAGAGGGUGAUAGUCCCGUAUGCGAAAAACAAACCUUAGCUAGCAGUAUCCUGAGUAGGGCGGGACACGAGGAAUCCUGUCUGAAUCCGGGUCGACCACGAUCCAACCCUAAAUACUAAUACCAGAUCGAUAGUGCACAAGUACCGUGAGGGAAAGGUGAAAAGAACUGAGGUGAUCAGAGUGAAAUAGAACCUGAAACCAUUUGCUUACAAUCAUUCAGAGCCUUAUGUAGCAAUACAGGGUGAUGGACUGCCUUUUGCAUAAUGAGCCUGCGAGUUGUGGUGUCUGGCAAGGUUAAGCAAACGCGAAGCCGUAGCGAAAGCGAGUCUGAAUAGGGCGCUUAGUCAGAUGCUGCAGACCCGAAACGAAGUGAUCUAUCCAUGAGCAAGUUGAAGCUAGUGUAAGAACUAGUGGAGGACUGAACCCAUAGGCGUUGAAAAGCCCCGGGAUGACUUGUGGAUAGGGGUGAAAGGCCAAUCAAACUUCGUGAUAGCUGGUUCUCUCCGAAAUAUAUUUAGGUAUAGCGUUGUGUCGUAAUAUAAGGGGGUAGAGCACUGAAUGGGCUAGGGCAUACACCAAUGUACCAAACCCUAUCAAACUCCGAAUACCUUAUAUGUAAUCACAGCAGUCAGGCGGCGAGUGAUAAAAUCCGUCGUCAAGAGGGAAACAACCCAGACUACCAGCUAAGGUCCCUAAAUCUUACUUAAGUGGAAAACGAUGUGAAGUUACUUAAACAACCAGGAGGUUGGCUUAGAAGCAGCCAUCCUUUAAAGAAAGCGUAAUAGCUCACUGGUCUAGUGAUUUUGCGCGGAAAAUAUAACGGGGCUAAAGUAAGUACCGAAGCUGUAGACUUAGUUUACUAAGUGGUAGGAGAGCGUUCUAUUUGCGUCGAAGGUAUACCGGUAAGGAGUGCUGGAGCGAAUAGAAGUGAGCAUGCAGGCAUGAGUAGCGAUAAUUAAUGUGAGAAUCAUUAACGCCGUAAACCCAAGGUUUCCUACGCGAUGCUCGUCAUCGUAGGGUUAGUCGGGUCCUAAGUCGAGUCCGAAAGGGGUAGACGAUGGCAAAUUGGUUAAUAUUCCAAUACCAACAUUAGUGUGCGAUGGAAGGACGCUUAGGGCUAAGGGGGCUAGCGGAUGGAAGUGCUAGUCUAAGGUCGUAGGAGGUUAUACA